RNAcentral lists this ribosomal RNA (450 nucleotides) under uncultured organism. RNAcentral describes it as "partial 16S ribosomal RNA". It matches the Rfam family "Bacterial small subunit ribosomal RNA", at positions 335 to 801 of the family's 1533-position model. The record is from RNAcentral.
ACUCCUACGGGAGGCAGCAGUGGGGAAUAUUGGACAAUGGGCGCAAGCCUGAUCCAGCCAUGCCGCGUGAGUGAUGAAGGCCCUAGGGUUGUAAAGCUCUUUCACCGGUGAAGAUAAUGACGGUAACCGGAGAAGAAGCCCCGGCUAACUUCGUGCCAGCAGCCGCGGUAAUACGAAGGGGGCUAGCGUUGUUCGGAUUUACUGGGCGUAAAGCGCACGUAGGCGGACUAUUAAGUCAGGGGUGAAAUCCCGGGGCUCAACCCCGGAACUGCCUUUGAUACUGGUAGUCUUGAGUUCGAUAGAGGUGAGUGGAAUUCCGAGUGUAGAGGUGAAAUUCGUAGAUAUUCGGAGGAACACCAGUGGCGAAGGCGGCUCACUGGCUCGAUACUGACGCUGAGGUGCGAAAGCGUGGGGAGCAAACAGGAUUAGAAACCCUAGUAGUCCCAUGAU